RNAcentral lists this ribosomal RNA (274 nucleotides) under uncultured bacterium. RNAcentral's name for it is "partial 16S ribosomal RNA". It matches the Rfam family "Archaeal small subunit ribosomal RNA", at positions 473 to 747 of the family's 1478-position model. The record is from RNAcentral.
AAACCAGCACCUCAAGUGGUCAGGAGGAUUAUUGGGCCUAAAGCAUCCGUAGCCUGUUCUAUAAGUUUCCAGUUAAAUCCACUAGCUCAACUAGUGGGCUGCCGAAAAUACUGUAGAACUAGGGGGUGAGAGAGGUAGACGGUAUUCGGUAGGAAGGGGUAAAAUCCUUUGAUCUAUUGAGGACCACCUGUGGCGAAGGCGGUCUACCAGAACACGUUCGACGGUGAGGGAUGAAAGCUGGGGGAGCAAACCGGAUUAGAAACCCCUGUAGUCC